RNAcentral lists this long non-coding RNA (250 nucleotides) under Lathyrus oleraceus (garden pea). RNAcentral's name for it is "Pisum sativum (pea) long non-coding RNA (PSAT_LNC005559)". Lineage: Eukaryota; Viridiplantae; Streptophyta; Magnoliopsida; Fabales; Fabaceae. The record is from RNAcentral.
AAAAGAUAGUUUGAUCCUCUACUGAUCCUGUAUAGCUAGAUCCUUCCUUAUCUGUUAAAGGGUGGAUUGGUCACUUUGAAGGAGUUAAAGCUUGCAAUACUUCCUUAUCCACCAGGCUAUGACGAUAAUGCUCACUGUGAGUAUCAUAUGGAUGCCCAGGGGCACACAAUGGAGGAUUGCAAUGCAUUGAAACACAGAGUCCAAGACUUGAUUAACUACAAGGCAUUCAUUUUCACAUGCCCAAAUGUUG